Molecule: long non-coding RNA, 712 nt
Organism: Otolemur garnettii (small-eared galago)
Lineage: Eukaryota; Metazoa; Chordata; Mammalia; Primates; Galagidae
Exons: 5
Source: RefSeq, a predicted model, not a curated record
UUUUUCUUCUCUAGAGUGAACAUAAGAUAGCUGACUUUUAACCAUUCAAUGAAGAAAUUUAUCUUGAGUAAGGGGCAUAUAGACUAAUAAUGAACAUGUUCUUCCCAAAUGAGUUAUUAUCUUCUGGUGAAGAUCCUGCCUUUUACCUCUAUGAAUAAGAAGAGAAGAGAUCCACAUUGGAUUUGGUAAUUCCCCUGUGAUGAAGAAUAUGGCUAAUGCUUCACUGGGUAUUGAUCUGGGAAUAGAUAUUACUGCACAGAUAUUACUGCCAGUGAGUCAAUGAAUGGAUCAAUAAACAAAAGUAUAAAUGAAGAAAAAGUUUGCUUAUCUUGGAUCUAUGAUGAGUACCCUGGGGUGUCUGAAUCAAAGAUUUUGAUUAAACCCUAUAACUCUGAGGUCCAUUGCAAAAAGAUUCCUGUUCAUCAUCAUCAUAGGAAAAUGGACACACAAUAACCUAAUCAUUCUAUGGAUUGAGUGAGAAAGAUCUUGGUUAUUUUUUUGAAAAAUAUAUACAGAAACCUGUAAGUGGUCAUAUUUACUUUGUAUUCUACAGAAUGGACGCACAAUAAUCCAAUCAUUCUCUGGAUUGAGUGAGAAAGAUCUUGGUUAUUAUCUUUUUGAAAAAUAUAUAUAGAAACCUGUAAGUAGCAAAGUAAUUGCUUCUGGAUUGGUGAUUUUUAUGCAUGUUAAAUCUAUUAUUGCAAAGGAAUAA